RNAcentral lists this ribosomal RNA (394 nucleotides) under uncultured bacterium. RNAcentral's name for it is "partial 16S ribosomal RNA". It matches the Rfam family "Bacterial small subunit ribosomal RNA", at positions 338 to 729 of the family's 1533-position model. The record is from RNAcentral.
CCUACGGGAGGCAGCAGUGAGGAAUAUUGGUCAAUGGACGGAAGUCUGAACCAGCCAUGCCGCGUGCAGGAAGACGGCCCUAUGAGUUGUAAACUGCUUUUGUACAAGGGUAAACAUGAAAAUGUGUAUUCAGCUGAAAGUACUGUACGAAUAAGGAUCGGCUAACUCCGUGCCAGCAGCCGCGGUACUACGGAGGAUCCAAGCGUUAUCCGGAUUUAUUGGGUUUAAAGUGUGCGUAGGCGGGUUGUUAAGUUAGAGGUGAAAUGACCGAGCUUAACUCGGGAACUGCCUCUAAUACUGUUGAUCUAGAGAGUAGUUGCGGUAGGCGGAAUGUAUGGUGUAGCGGUGAAAUGCUUAGAGAUCAUACAGAACACCGAUGGCGAAGGCAGCUUAC